RNAcentral lists this ribosomal RNA (253 nucleotides) under uncultured bacterium. RNAcentral's name for it is "partial 16S ribosomal RNA". It matches the Rfam family "Bacterial small subunit ribosomal RNA", at positions 524 to 776 of the family's 1533-position model. The record is from RNAcentral.
UACGGAGGGGGCGAGCGUUGUCCGGAAUCAUUGGGCGUAAAGCGUGUGUAGGCGGCCCGGUAAGUCCGCUGGGAAAGUCAAGGGCUCAACCCUUGGAUGCCGGUGGAUACUGCAGGGCUAGAGUCCGGAAGAGGCGAGUGGAAUUCCUGGUGUAGCGGUGAAAUGCGCAGAUAUCAGGAGGAACACCGAUGGCGAAGGCAGCUCGCUGGGACGGUACUGACGCUGAGGCGCGAAAGCGUGGGGAGCAAACAGG